UGGCCCAGGCACUGGAGGAGUUUGCAGUUUCCUUUCCAGAUCAUUUUACAAAUGAGGAAAUGGAGGCCAACGGGGUCCAGCGAGUGGCUUGGCUAGUCAGUAUCUGCGGCCAGAGCCGAAGGCAGGAACAAGAGCCUUCCUGCCUCCAGGUCCCGCUCUGUAUCCCCUGAGCCGGCUUCUCUAGCCUACAAGGAGUGAACCUGCCCUCAGAUCACCCCCGGGGGAUCCCCAAAUAGAGGGGUUCAGGGCGAAUUUGCGAUGGCACUCUUCUUCAGAAGCACCCAUUUAGUGGGGCUUCUGCCCAUUUCUUACCUUCCUUGUACCUAGAGGCGUUAUGGGGGUGGCCAUCUUUUCUCACCCUUGAUCACCCACGCUCCCUCCAGGGCGCUCCUCAGGCCAACUUGGUGGGCUGCUUAAAUCGCCCAGGGCUGGACUCCUCUGGCUCUAGGUGGGGGAUGGGUCAGGGGCUGGCUGCGGACUUCUAGAUCUUUGUGAAUCCUCAGAGAAGGGAAAGUUUUGUAGUGGCCCUGUAGACACCUCUCUUUUAUGAGGUUUUUCUUUUUGGCUCAAAGCUUACCCUUCACUUCACUGCCCUCCCAUUCACCCGGACUGAACAACUUCUCCGUCUCCGUCUUCCUUGGCUUGGCGCUCCCAUCCAUCACACGGAAUCAGGCAGUCACCGAGUCCUGUUUGAUUCUGAACAACAUCUUGUGUCAACUAGAGAAAACACAGAACUAUUAAAUAGUCAAAAUCACUCUUUAAUCAAGGGAAAAGGGGUUCGCGCUACUAAUGCAACAACAGAGCUGAUUUCCAAGACUGCACAGAGUCAAGACGCCCUGGUCACCAGCCCCUGGGAGUGCCACCGACUCAGGAUGGACUCCGAGGAACAAAAGAACUUGGGGAACCUAUAUGCCACUCUAGAUGACCUGGGGGGUUUAGGAUUAGAGGGACAGUUGAUUGACUUUACAAUGGUAAGAAAGGAAAAUUAAGAGUUCCAGACAGGAAUACUAGUGAGGGACUGGGGCCCUACAAUGGACACAAAAGGGAAAGACUCAGCCUAGGGCUGGGUCACCUUGGUCAUGGACCUUAGCCUAGGGGGAGAAACCAUUGGGACAAAAGGGAUGUUCAAUAUUGGAUGGGAUUAGCUGUUCCCACCCAAACUACCAGGAAGUUCGCUGUCUGGGGAAGAGGGACCUUCCCUCAGGGGGAAACUCUCCUGUGACAAGGUCAAAACCUGGGGUUUCUAUACUCAAACUAAAUAAACUGGGGAUCUCUAGAUUUCCA
Molecule: long non-coding RNA, 1284 nt
Filed under: Monodelphis domestica (gray short-tailed opossum)
Lineage: Eukaryota; Metazoa; Chordata; Mammalia; Didelphimorphia; Didelphidae
Description: lncRNA (ENSMODG00000038025.1)
Source: RNAcentral